This 1040-nucleotide long non-coding RNA is filed under the name Homo sapiens (human). RNAcentral's name for it is "HSALNT0057854". The record is from RNAcentral. Lineage: Eukaryota; Metazoa; Chordata; Mammalia; Primates; Hominidae.
CCACUAUCUCUCCUGAAUUCAGCUGGGAGAGCUCUCACUCCAAAUACUGCUUGGUGCUGGGUUAUGUUAUUUCCUGCUCAGAAAUCUUUCCUAUUGCCUAGCAAAUUGAAAAUAUUCAACUAUUAAGGCAUUUAAAGCACUUUAAAAUAUGCUCUCAAUCAGCUUAGGUACUCUUAUCUCUGACUACUUACCUAAACAGUUCCUAAGCCUUGAUCAAAUUGGCCAGCUUACUGCAUUUUAUCUUCAUAUCCCCCACAGCUUUGGAUGGUAUACUCAUUUGGACAGAAGGUUUCAAAAGAAAGAAGAAGAGAGAGAGGAGAAAAGAAGAAAAGAAAAGAAAAGAAAAGAAAGAAAAGAAAAGAGAAAUGAAAAAAAAAAUAGGAAAACAGAUUCCAGCAUGAUCACAAACAAAACAUCUGACAACUCAAAAAAGUAUCUCCAUGUGUUUCCACACAUGGACCAAUUUGGACUGGAAUGAAAAGUGUGAGCUACCACAAACAGUUCCUCUUCAGAUUCUCUUGGUUCCCGUCCCGGUUUACCUGGGCAUGAUUUGAGCCAUCUUUGAACCACAGAGGAAUGCUUGAGUGCAAAAGAUUUCUCAAGACCUAUUCAGCCAUGCAAUUGCUUGCACACUGCUGGGUUAGGGUCUCCAUGAUCAAGCUGGUCUCAGCAAGUGGUGCCCAUAUGUGGGGCUCGAACCUGGGUUGGAGGGUCGCUGGAGCAACGGUUGGAGAACGUGGAACUAAGCUGGAGGACACCCAUACACUCUUAAGCAAUCCCAGUGGUGAGUAAGAAGGGGAGCUUGGAAGCAUCAGGGUAACAAUGGGACAAGUGUGGGCUUUGGUUUGUUCCACCUUGGAACCUUUUCACACUAAUGAUGAGGAGGAAGGAAAGUAUAAUAAAGUAACAGAAGAAGUAACAGAACAGGUUUGUUUGCCAGCUAAAGCUAAAGUGGCAAAGGAGGGAGAGGUUCAUCCCUACCCUUCUGCACCCCAUCCUUAUUUUGAAGAAAAAGAGUCGCCUGACUCUCCAGAUCUUUC